Dromaius novaehollandiae (emu) is the source of this 6938-nucleotide RNA transcript. It is a transcript of the gene named SPNS lysolipid transporter 3, sphingosine-1-phosphate (putative), with no coding region annotated. Lineage: Eukaryota; Metazoa; Chordata; Aves; Casuariiformes; Dromaiidae. The transcript has 13 exons. The record is from RefSeq and is a predicted model, not a curated record.
GCAAAAUUAACUCAUAGCUUAGUGCGCUAAGGAAACACUUCAUAAUAUAUGGUGACUCUCUGCACUGGGAAAUAUGCAGGAUCCUGAAGUAGACGAAAAUACAACCUUGCAGUUCCAGCCACCUCUGGACGAGCAGAAUUACGGCGCUACUGUCGCACAUGCAAGACACUUUCCACGCGAGUCGGUGUCAAGGAACAGUCCAGCGAAGAGAGAUUACAUGAUAACUGGUGUGCUGUGCUAUGCAAAUUUAAUAAAUUUCAUGGAUUGGUUCAUUGUACCAGGCAUCCUGUUAGAUAUACAGAAAUACUUCAAGCUUAGUGAUGGAGAUGCAGGUCUACUGCAAACAGUCUUCAUCUUGUGUUACAUGCUGGCUGCCCCCUUCUUUGGAUACCUUGGUGACCGGCACAAUAGGAAAAUCAUCCUUGGGGCUGGUAUUUUCUUCUGGUCUGGUGUAACGUUAGGCAGUUCAUUCAUCAAGGAAUCGUAUUCCUGGAUAUUCUUUCUUUCACGAGGACUGGUUGGCAUUGGCACGGCUAGUUAUUCCACGAUAGCACCUACCAUCAUCGCAGACCUGUUUGAGGAAGGAAAAAGGACCACAAUGUUAUCUGUCUUCUAUAUCUUCAUUCCAGUUGGAAGUGGUCUGGGUUAUGUCCUAGCAUCCAGCAUGGCAGAUGCCACAGGUGACUGGCACUGGGCUUUCAGGAUAACGCCUUGCAUGGGAGCUCUAGCACUUGUUCUUCUGAUUCUGGUCGUCCCUCGCAGGACCCAGAGAAGGACAGAAGCGCACAGAGCACUGAGCAUCUCCGGCACAAUACGAGUAGCAGCUGAGAAACCAGGGGUACAAAGAACUGGCAAGACGACUUGGUGUGAAGAUGUCAUAUCACUUGGCAAGAACUGGAGUUUUGUCUGGUCCUCACUGGGUCUGACUGCCAUGGCCUUCGUUACUGGAGCCCUGGGCCUGUGGGUGCCGCUGUUCCUUUACAGGGCUCAGGUUGUCCAGGGCAUUGUAUCACCAUGCCUCGAAGAAUCGUGCAAUUCAUCCGACAGCCUAAUAUUUGGAGGCAUCACCAUUGGGACAGGAAUCUUGGGUGUCGUUGCUGGGGCAGAAGUUGCAAGAAGGUUAAGGAAGAUUAACAAUAAAGCUGAUCCGCUGAUCUGUGCCGUUAGCAUGUUCAUUUCUGCCGUGUGCCUCUACAUAGCUCUGAUCGUGGCCCAGACGAACAUCGUUUUCACUUUUAUUUUUAUUGCAUUUGGAGAACUGUUUUUAUCUGUAAACUGGGCUGUUGUGACAGACAUACUGUUGUAUGUUGUGACACCAAGACGGCAGUCUACAGCUAUAGCCCUGCAGAUUUUGGUGAGCCAUUUGCUGGGAGAUGCAGGCAGCCCAUAUCUCAUUGGGAUUAUCUCUAAUGCUAUUCAGGCCAAGAAUGCUAACUCAUUCCAGUGGAGUUUCUGGAGCCUGCAGUACAGCUUCAUCAUGUGUGCGUUUGUUGGUGUCUUUGGAGGAAGUUUUUUCCUCCUGACGUCUUUCUACAUUGAGGAAGAUCGUAAGGAAGCAACACAGCUUUGAGGUACGAGGAAUGAAGGCUGUCUUUCAAAGGAAGAUGAACUCCAGGGCAAGAUAUGUAAAGAAGAAGAAAAGAACCUCCUCCCCUUUUUCUUUCCUUUUGCUUAAUGAGAUACAGUUAGAGAAAAGGCCAAAUAACAAUUCCUCCAUAUGGCAGAAAAACCUGCACACUGACUUUUUGGAUGCUUUUGAUUAUGAGUCAAAAAUUGCUACUGAGUUGGCAUAUGGCAACGCUCCCCCCAUCUGUGAAACAGGCGUGAAUAUGCUGUGGAGCUGGGGAGCUCCAGAAGGCAGUGUAUAGAGCUGUCACAGGCAUGACUGUUAACCUAAACAAGACAGUAGCAUUUAAGGCAGAAUGUCUAGUGAAGAUUAGGAUGGGAGGCCUAUGAAUUCUCAGCAGGAUAAGAUUGGCCUUUAGAAUUUGGAAAAUAUGGAUAGUGCAAGCAAUAUUUUCAGUCAUCUGAAAUGACCAAGAGAGGCAGAGAUUAGUCAAGGGUCAGUGUCAGAUUUGAGAGUGGAGAGUUGUUGUGACUCUACAUGUAAUAUGUGAAUGGCUUCUUUAUAAAACUUUGAGGCUCUUCAGUGCAUUGCCAGGCCUUGGGUAAGUAUCUCUGUACAUGAGUGAACAGCGGUAGCUAUAAAACCACUUGAAUAUAACUAUCCAGUCGAGCUCUUAUCUCUAAAGAGCCUAAGACUUUGGAUAUGGUAUCUAUUGUCAUAAUAUCAUGCCAGGUGCCAAGCAUGACAUGAUUAUUUUGGCCCAUUUUCAUUGUUUGCGGUGCUGUGGUUCCCAGCAGCGCCUUAAAGCCAAAGCCUGGGGAAGAUAUUAGCAAGUGUGAACAUUGUGAAUCUUACCUGAUUCUCCCAGUAAGCCAUAAGGACCAUAAAGCACAAUAUUCUUCUGAGUGUGACUAAUGUCAUUAUAAAUAGCAUAAUAGAGCAACUGCAGGUUUUUUUGUUCUCUCUCAUUUUUCUGAAAUCUGUUCUGAAAUUUGACUUAAACCCUGAUAGUCAAAUUUGGCCAGAGCUUAGGCCAUUAUGGAAAAUAAUGGAGAAGCUUUUUUGUGAUACUCAAUGAGAGUUUAAGAAUUGCCUUAAAAAUGAAAUCUGGUAUUCUGAAAGAUUGAGCAACUCUUUCUGGUUGUACAAGGUAGCCAAAGCCAUUAUACUACUGUCUUUUCGGAAGUUCAUGUGUUGCCCGAGGGCCCACAUCCAGUAAGGGAUUCCCAAUACUGGAUGUGGACACAUCAGCUUGUAUAGGUCCUAAGUGCUUUUCUUAACAUUUUUUUCAGACUAUUUUUAAGCUACUUGGUAGCAAUGUUUGGAUUGAAACCUCCUGCAUAUAUUCGGCAGACCUGAUGAAAUGUGUAACAUUUGUCUUCCAGAUAAAGCAAGAACAAGUCACUUGGCACCAGUUCCAUUGUUCUUCUUAACACAAUGCCCCAUUGUGCAAUGAAUCUGGGAGGCCUCAUGGCAGUCUUUAAGGCCUUCUAAAUUCUCUAUACACUCCAGACUGGACCUUUAAGAGCCUGAAAUUCAUCUGGUACACUGUUACUGUACCAUUUGUGCUGUUUGAAGCAAGACUAACCAGCCAAGAGGCUGGAUGCUCUGAGCUAUGCCUGGGCGUCCCUGGAAUUGCACAAUCCUCUGGCUUGAUGAGAACUGUCGACUCAGAGGUCUUGCAAAGGUGCAGUGAUGGUGUGACGCAGCCCGGGGAGGCUCUGCCUCCAAAGCAGGGAAACUAUUUCCAUCAUCCAGAAUUUUUACGAGGUAUUUAACCUUUCUGAUAUUUUUCUUGCAUACUUGCCUGACCAGAUCCUCACUGUUUUUCUUCUUGGCCAGCAGAUGAAAUAUUAAAUGAGAAUGUAACCUCCUCAGUAGAAUAUAUAAAAGCAGUAGAAUUUCUCAAAACUUUCUGCAGAUCUUGAAUUUGCUUCUCAGCUGGCAGCGCCAGAUUCUGCACGAAGCAGUCAGUGCGACAGUCUCUCAGUCCUGGAGGGGACUGCGGUGCAUUUUAGCUAUUUAAGACAUUAGGCUUUUUGCAUGCCAUCAAAGUCCGGUAUUAGAGAAAGUUACUGAGUCCUGUCACACAGCCAGUGAAUGAAUGAAAGUUCUCUUUAGGAGUUAAUCAAAAUACUAGGUGUUUUCUAUGGUUCAAGCUGGCUAGAACUAAGCAAAAAUGAGUGGCUUAAAAAAGCUUAUUUAAUUUGCAGCUCUGUCUAGAUUGGAAAGAGCUGCUGCUGGAAGGUGACAGUUAUUAAGAUAGUUUGUUCUGCAGUAUUCAAGCUACUUGGAACCUGCGUGACUUGCAGCACACAGGCUGUGGGAAGACCCACUUUGUCUCCUACGUCAAACGAAUGACAGCUGAACAAGUUGACAAAGCUGUUGCAUGUUCUGUAACUGUUUGUAUGUUUGCCUCUUACCUUUACCAUUUUUUCCUUGUUCUUUCCAACUAAAAUAGUGGGUAAAAGGCACUUUGGAACUGCUCAAAAAGAUGUGGUUUUAUAAGUCCACUCAGGUAAUGAUUUUGAUCUUUUCCUCUUCCUCCCCUUUCAUCAUUCCCCAAAGCAGGGACAUGGGAUUGGUACUGACCUUUUGUGCUGUUUAUGUGGAUUAUUUUUUAAGGAAGCAUUAGAACUCUGCAUAAAAAUUGCCUUCAAAAUCGUGAUUACUUUGGCUUCUGCUAAAUGCCUGAAAAGGCAUCAAGUGGGCAGGACAUAUCUAAGAUACACAGUACUGUUAUGUGUAAGUACUUCUCCAGAGUGAUUCAUUCCACCAGACAGGAUGCUGAUGUGUGAGUGCUAUCAGCAGAAUAUUAAUUUUCAAAAAUCUCUUGUGUAACUUUUUCUUUCCCUCCCUAGCCCCUCCCCAAAUAAAUAGCCCUGUACACUGCUCCUGAAAAGGGUUUCACAGCACCUAAAACAUCUUUCUGCACUGUGGCUGAAGGUGUGCAGAUGGCACACUGUGGCUUUCCAGGCUAUGGAUUUAUACAUUCUGUCUAGGCUGCUCACUUCUAAGAAGAUCUUGGGUUUAAUUCCUCUUUGCCCUAAUCGCUCAUGCAGCUGAAUUGUCUUUUGCAAUAUAUUUUUGCAGACCAGUUGUGAUCCUUUAUAAAGCUACUGAUGUAGCCAUAUGUGUCAAAAGCAUCCUUUAGCUUAGAAGACAGAGCUCAGGGUUGCUGCUGUCAUUGUGAAGGACCUGUGCUGAGGCAGGAUCACUUAUGAGUGUACCAUCCCUGAUGGCUGUUUUACUAAAUCCCUCUUAACCUCCACUGAUGAAGACUUCGUCACCUUCAUAGGUGGCCUGUUUCAGUACUCCAUUACUGAAGAAUUGGCAGUUUUCCCCACACUAUCUUAAGUAAAAUGUUGUGUUGCAGAAUAACUGGCUGAAUUCUGUCUUGCUGUCCUCCCUAGCAUUUGUCUUCCCUUCUACGUCCUGCAUUGUCCAGAUUCACCUAGUGACUUUAUUGUUCGGUAUAUAUGUCCUUUUAGUUCAGAAUGUGCAGAUGAAUUAACUGAUUCCUGUUUGGAAAGAAAACUAAAGGAAAACAGACACUGUCCACCUGAGAAUAGCAUAAAAUGGGUACAGAAAGGCUAAAUCAGCCCAUUUAUGCUGUAGCUGAUUUAAGCUCUUCCAUAGUAGCAGAUAUAUCAUCUCUGCUUCUGCACUUUGCCCUCCUCACAUUAAAAUGUGGAUGGAGUGUCUGUUGAAAUAGAUUUUGAAAUAACUAAGAAUCCUAGAAGUCCUCCAUAAACCCAAAGCUUCUAUGGCAAAAGUUUUCUUCAGAGAUCUUUCAAAUGUGUUGCUUUCCAAGAAUCAUUCACUUUUCAGGCCUCCUUCUUUCUAGUACUGAGUUCUCCUACCCUGCCUGCAAUAACGCUAGUUAGUGCUGACUGUGAGGGUGGCUAACUUGGACGCUCCUUCCCCUAGGACCCAGAGAGAAUUCACCUCCUCCCUUGAUGUAGGCAAAAAAGCGACGAAACAAAAAUGCAUUUGGGCCCCUGCCAAGUCAUAUUGGCAUUCAAGUAGAUGGUACUGGCUGCAUUUCAAUACAAGACAGCCAGUGGGUUCAUCUGAGUUCUCCUAUAAUUAUCUUCAUUGUAAUCCAAUAAAGUCUUGGAGAAGUUCUUAGCAAGCUUUUGUUUGUAAGGGAGACAAAGGUGGAUAUGAAAAGAUUCUUGUUUCUAAUGUUGUAUAGCUGAUCAAAAUUGCAUUGAUCUCACUUUGUGUAAUUCAAUGUUUACAUUAAAGUUUUGUUUUUAAUAUGUAAAUUGAUUAUGUAUUCUGCAGUAAUAAAAUGGCUGUAAUUCUGAGAGAUUAAUGAAAGUGUUGUUGAAUCCCACUGUAGAAAUAAUCCUUCAUAAAUGCACUGUCAAAUGUAUAUGGAAUUAGGAAUGCAACUGAAUCCCAGUAGGCCUAACCCUGCCAGUGCAGUUAGAAUAGGACUCAAGUGUACAUUGUCUCCAUCAGGAUCCUGUACGAUGCACAAGUCUGACCUGUAUAGGACUUGGCUUAUAUUGUGGUACUAAGAUAUGACUUUGUCUGCUCAUAUAGUGUGGUGCUUUUGUUCCUACAUCUAAUAUUUUUCUAUAGUGUUAUGAAAAAUGCCUUUAAAUGGAGUUAAAGGUAAAUUCAUGCAUUCAUGUAUGCAGGUAUAAUUUUCUUUUCAAUGUUUAAUGUGUUGGGCAGUAGGCUUGAAACUGAUGUAAAAAGGAUGAAGGUAACCAUUUUUGAAAGAAUUGACUUCAAGCUAGCUAUUUAAUUCCACCAUAACAUGUCCUGCUAAGUGGUCUGAUUCUUUUCUUUCUUCUUUCCUUUCUUUUUCAAAGAGCCUCGCAUCCCUCUGUUCCUAAUGAAGGCAAUCUGAGCAGCUGUGCGUUCAACACUCAAGAAAAUCAGGCCAUUUACUUAAAGACUUAAUUAUGGGUUUAGAAGCCUAAUCUUAGGCACCUAAUUUUGAAAUCUUUGUUGCAGGCAUGUUUUUUUCAGGGAUAUCUGUGUCCUGCUGAAUGAAAACAUCACUUAGGGAAAUGCAGGUCUGUGAGUACUUAAUAUUCCAUCUGUAAGUGUUGCAACUAAUAACUACUUUAUGGUUUUUGCCGUGAUAGUUUGUUUUCGGUGAAUGACCUUGUUCUUUGUGUGUACUGGUAACCCCCAUCGCUGAGGAGAAGUCACUGGACCUGCAGUACAUCAGAGCCGGGAGCAGAGCUGUAGUAGGAGAGAAUAUGAACUGAAAAAGAACACCUGAGUUCUUCCACAAGGUCUUGCUGAGAAUAUUUCCCCAGCAGAACCAGGUGAAAAGAUGCUUCUUCAACCCAUUUGGAUAAUGCUGUGGAUUCAUUGGUAUAAGAAUAAAAUGUGGAUUAGAUUG